UCCGAUUCGUUUGAACCGAAGCGCUCGAAACAGCGUACGCUGGCGACAACUGCUAGUCAAAACAUGUAUAAUGACAUUUUGUAAAAACCAACUGCAAAUGUUUUCAUGAAAGUAUUAUCUAUUAAAUGUAAUCUACGAAUUAUUAAAUACCAUUAAACCAAAGCUGUGUCCGAAACCGCCCCCUAUCCACUAAAUAGUGCACUAUUUCGGGUGUCGGCCAUUUUUUAGUGGUGUCCGAAUCCAUUCCUUACAUUUGUUCACUCAUUCUUAACCACAAUGCAAUCUGAUUUCGAGGGUACAUACGAAGUACACUCUCCGACCCUUAUUUCCCAUAAUCCAAGAGACGGCGGCAGAGUGGCAAAAAAAAAAAAAAAAAAAAAACUCCAAACACCGGAGGCGGCAACUUUUAUAAAUGGACGGAUGAAGACGUAACGCGUCACAUAAUGAGCAGGAUGGCCAAUGGGCAUCUCUUCUCUGGGCGCAGGAACGCAGCCCAGUUUGGAUAGGAAACUGUACUGAAAGAGAUGGGUUUGCUUGGUGUGGUAACCCCUGCCAAAGCUGCCAAAAAGUGGGAAAAAUUGUAGAAAACCUACAAGGUGAAUGGUGACCAAAUCUUUUAGCUCCAAAAAGGACAUAAAGGCAACAUUAAGUUUGGCUUGCCCGUUCCCAAUGCGCUCUAGGUCCUUGUGGUGGCGUAGUCACUCUGGGUGGCGAAGGACGAAUCUCAGUUGCCUCCGCUUCUGAGAGUCAAUCCAUGCAUCUUAUCACGUGGCUUGAGCGCAUUACCACAGAGACCUAGCGUGUAGAGGGUUCACGCUAUUCUCCGCGGCAUCCACGCACAACUGACCACAUGCCCCACCGAGAGUGAGAACCACAUUUAUAGCAACCACGAGGAGGUUAACCCAAUGUGACUCUACCCACCUUAGCAACCGGGCCAAUUGGUUGCUUAAGAAGCCUGAAUGGAGUCACUCAGCAUGCCCUGGAUUCGAACUUGCGACUCCAGGUGUGGUAGUAAGCGUCUUUACUUGCUGAGCUACCCAGGCCCCCCUGUUAUUCUUUUUGCUAUUUUAACUUUAAAAUGAGGUAAUCUGUAUCAUUGUAUAAUAUGUUUAAGAUUUUGUUGCACUGCUGUAUCUAUUGGCACUUUCAUUUCCUUGUUAUGUAUUUCUUCAUGUACAUGGAGGUCAAUUACAGGCAUUGGGAAGAGCCAAGGAGGUACUGCUGGCACAGCCACAGAAGGGGCAAUAGCAACAUCAUUCAAUCCCAUACUCUGUGCCUCCUUACUAACUAUCCAUCCAAAGCUUGUUAUUUUAAUUUUUUAAUUUUUUUGUACUCCUAUUCCCAACAAUCUUUCAGUACUUUUUUAACUGGAUGACUUUCCAAAUGACCCUUUCCAGCAGUCCAAUAUCUCUUCCUUAACUUAAGCCUAUGGAUUUCUAGUGGCAUUUCCCUCAUCUCCACUUGUAAAGAUGACACUGGAGAUGUUCUAAAUGCUCCACAGCAUAUUCGUAGUGCUUGUGAUUUUAUUGCCUCAACCAUUUUAAGCCAUGUUAUAGAUGCAGAACUGUACACCAUACUGCCAUAAUCUGUAGCGGAUCUGAUCAAUGCACAAUAUAUACUUCAAAGUGACUGACGACUUGCCCCCCCCCCAUUCAAUUCCUGCCAAGCACCUCCAUUUAUUCCACUUAUUACCUACAUUUAUUCCUUUUUUACAUUUAUCUAUUAGUUUCAGGAUAUGAACUCCAACGGUCAAUUUUGAAUCCAUCCACAUAACCACAAAUCUAACAAAUUUUACUUGUUCCAGCUGAUGUCCAUACAUAUUGAUAUUCACUGUGGGAUUCAUUUUCCUUUUUGAGAAGCAAUUCACUUGUGUUUUUGCCACUGAAAAGCAAACCGCCCAAAUAUUAGCCCAAUUCUCGACCUAAUUUACAGCAUACUAUUCACCACAUAUGUAACAUUGCGCCCUCUCUUCCAUAAAGCUCCAUCAUCUGCAUAUGAUCUCCCUAUUCCAGUGUCUAUCUGAGAGAAAAUGUAAUUCAUCAUAAUAUUAAAGAGAUUAGAGCUGCAAACACUUCCUUGUGGAAUUCUGUUCUCUGUUGGGUAUAUCUAGACUCCACUCUUACUUGUAUAGCUCUACCUAACAAGAAGCUCAUGAUCCAGUUGUACAUUCUCCCUUUGAUUCCUUCCACAACAUAUACACUUUUUCUUUGGGGGCUCUUGACCCCCAGCUUUAAGGUGUCGAUCCGGGGGUGUCAGCAACCCCUGUAGGAAAAUGUUUUGGCCAAAUGCUUUGCUGUGUUUAGGAAGUUUGUGUUUUAAAAAACUUUGAUCUGAUCCUCUCUGAAGUGUUAACCAUAUUCGAAGUGUCAUUUCUCUUAGGAAGGGUUUAAAAAAAAAAAAGUAUUCGUUUAAACAGGAUGAGGGCACCUGUUCACACUUUAGAUGCUAAGAACAAGAUAUUUUUUUGAUUCCUAACUUUAAAGUGUAAUUUCUCUUAGGAUGUGUUUUUUAAAACCUGUUCACGCUUUUGGUGCGGUCAGGAUAAGGGGGGAGUUUUUUAUUUUAUUCUAUAUUAUUUUUGUACAAAGUGGGGUGUCAGCAUUCCCAUGGGAAAAUGUUUCUGCCAAAUGCUUUGCUAUGU
Molecule: long non-coding RNA, 2641 nt
Organism: Myxocyprinus asiaticus (Chinese sucker)
Lineage: Eukaryota; Metazoa; Chordata; Actinopteri; Cypriniformes; Catostomidae
Exons: 5
Source: RefSeq, a predicted model, not a curated record